UCCUGGGAUAGCUCAGUCAGUAGAGCAUGAGAAUCUCAGAUCGUGGGUUCAAACCCCACACUGGGCA
Molecule: non-coding RNA, 67 nt
Organism: Podarcis lilfordi (Lilford's wall lizard)
Lineage: Eukaryota; Metazoa; Chordata; Lepidosauria; Squamata; Lacertidae
Source: the annotation of a GenBank genome assembly